UUGACCAAAGCAACGCUCAACUGCAGGUAAAAGCAUUAAAAUGUGAGUUUAACAACGCUCCAAGGCGCGUGCAAGUAAGCAGUUUAAGCGUUUUAUUACAACCCAUUCUCACUCCUAAAGCGCCAAAAACUGACGCCUCUAGCGUCACUAUGAAGACGCCAAAGAACUCACCGCUGAUGAACGCGCUAAACCUUUGCGCAGAGGGCACUUUGAUAUCAGAUUGAGAGGGUUUUUAAACAUCAAAAACCAGUUGGAGGGCCAGAUAAAAAUGAUCUGGGGGCCGCCAUUUGCUCGCCCUGGCAUAGAUCCUUUUUUGUAGCCUAUUCCUUUUUAUUUUUAUUUAUUGUAGUCUCCACCCAUACAAGGCAGACAACGGGUGUGCUGACCCAAGACGUCAAAUUUCAACACUGUUGAGUUCUAUAGAAGUCUAUCGGACUACCCUGCACGUUGAAAAAUGACGCCAAAGGUAUACCCAGUGCGUUAAAAAGUGACGCCAGGGUCCCUUGACCAUGCGUCAGACAUUUGACGAGUAGGGAGUGAGACUGUGUUGGGUUUUAUGGUUACACACGGCACUGGAUAGCUGGCAAAUCAGCAUAUACCCGCUUUUUUAGAACGAUAAGCUUUAUAAAAAUUGAUGCGUUUCAGAAAGGCGUGGCUAAAAAGAGCAAUAAUAAUAUACAUUAUAUGGAAAAUAAUGUGUUUUUUUGAACCUUAAACUGCAUAAACACAUUGCAUUACACCAAAUACACAAAAUAAUGUUAUUUUUAGUAAUGUCAUAUGACCCCUUUAAAAAAAAAUAACUUUGUAAUAAUGUUAAAAUAAAAAAUUACUUUAAAGUAAUUUUAAAUAUUUUAUUUAUUUAUUUAUUUUUCAUUUUUUUAUCAUUUGGUAAUCUCUUGUCAUGCUUUAAAUUGACUAACACACUUAAGCAUGUAGUUUUGCCUGUAGGUAUGUUAUUCAGUAUUACAUUAAAUAACUAUAUUAAUAUAUAUAUUAAUAAUUAAUAUAUUUCAAAUGCACUAAAUUGCAACUUCAUCAUUACAUAUGUGAAACUACUAAAAUAUGUAAAUCUAUAACAUACAAGUAAAAAAAAAAAAAGACAUUCAAUUUUAGUUUACCAUAAAUGCUUGUCAGUACAUUCGGCAGUAGUUUUUAACCAUAAUUCAAAGACAAUAGAAGUAGUUAUGAAAUUACACAUACAGUAUAGACCUACUAAAAUAACUUAAGGCCUAUUUAAGUGGCCCAAAAAAGCACUUAAUUUUCAUUGCAUUUAAUAUAAAUUUAAACUAUAUUUCAUUUUUAUUUAAUUGCAAAUAAUGUGCAAAUUAAGUGACAGAAAACAGUACAUUCAGUUCACACUUAAGUAUAUUCUUGAAAAGUAUAUUAUUCUCAUAAACGUUUAAACUCUUAUUAAAGGUGUACUAAAUUGUACUCCUUUUUCAUAAGGGUAUAGAUGGUAUACAUGUUAGUCAACAGCAUUGAGUAAGAGUGCUCUUGUA
Molecule: long non-coding RNA, 1499 nt
Organism: Cyprinus carpio carpio
Lineage: Eukaryota; Metazoa; Chordata; Actinopteri; Cypriniformes; Cyprinidae
Source: Ensembl